CUGGGAGGACCAUCUCCUAAGGCUAAAUACUCUCUAGUGACCGAUAGUGAACCAGUACCGUGAGGGAAAGGUGAAAAGCACCCCGGAAGGGGAGUGAAAUAGAACCUGAAACCGUGUGCUUACAAGUAGUCAGAGCCCGUUAAUGGGUGAUGGCGUGCCUUUUGUAGAAUGAACCGGCGAGUUACGAUUUGAUGCAAGGUUAAGCAGUAAAUGUGGAGCCGUAGCGAAAGCGAGUCUGAAUAGGGCGUUUAGUAUUUGGUCGUAGACCCGAAACCAGGUGAUCUACCCUUGGUCAGGUUGAAGUUCAGGUAACACUGAAUGGAGGACCGAACCGACUUACGUUGAAAAGUGAGCGGAUGAACUGAGGGUAGCGGAGAAAUUCCAAUCGAACCUGGAGAUAGCUGGUUCUCUCCGAAAUAGCUUUAGGGCUAGCCUCAAGUGAUGAUUAUUGGAGGUAGAGCACUGUUUGGACGAGGGGCCCCUCUCGGGUUACCGAAUUCAGACAAACUCCGAAUGCCAAUUAAUUUAACUUGGGAGUCAGAACAUGGGUGAUAAGGUCCGUGUUCGAAAGGGAAACAGCCCAGACCACCAGCUAAGGUCCCAAAAUAUAUGUUAAGUGGAAAAGGAUGUGGCGUUGCCCAGACAACUAGGAUGUUGGCUUAGAAGCAGCCAUCAUUUAAAGA
This 683-nucleotide ribosomal RNA is filed under the name Staphylococcus aureus. RNAcentral's name for it is "partial 23S ribosomal RNA". It matches the Rfam family "Bacterial large subunit ribosomal RNA", at positions 444 to 1129 of the family's 2925-position model. Lineage: Bacteria; Bacillati; Bacillota; Bacilli; Caryophanales; Staphylococcaceae. The record is from RNAcentral.